UAGGGAAUCUUCCACAAUGGGUGCAAACCUGAUGGAGCAAUGCCGCGUGAGUGAAGAAGGUCUUCGGAUCGUAAAGCUCUGUUGUUAGAGAAGAACACGUGCUAGGUAACUACUAGCACCUUGACGGUAUCUAACCAGAAAGUCACGGCUAACUACGUGCCAGCAGCCGCGGUAAUACGUAGGUGACAAGCGUUGUCCGGAUUUAUUGGGCGUAAAGGGAGCGCAGGCGGUCUGUUUAGUCUAAUGUGAAAGCCCACGGCUUAACCGUGGAACGGCAUUGGAAACUGACAGACUUGAAUGUAGAAGAGGAAAAUGGAAUUCCAAGUGUAGCGGUGGAAUGCGUAGAUAUUUGGAGGAACACCAGUGGCGAAGGCGAUUUUCUGGUCUAACAUUGACGCUGAGGCUCGAAAGCGUGGGGAGCGAACAGGAUUAGAUACCCUGGUAGUCCACGCCGUAAACGAUGAGUGCUAAGUGUUGGGGGCUUUCCAGCCCUCGGUGCUGGAGCUAACGUAUUAAGCACUCCGCCUGGGGAUUACGACCGCAAGGUU
RNAcentral lists this ribosomal RNA (548 nucleotides) under uncultured bacterium. RNAcentral describes it as "bacterial SSU rRNA". It matches the Rfam family "Bacterial small subunit ribosomal RNA", at positions 355 to 895 of the family's 1533-position model. The record is from RNAcentral.